This 2393-nucleotide long non-coding RNA is filed under the name Solanum tuberosum (potato). RNAcentral's name for it is "long non-coding RNA (STUB_LNC002130)". Lineage: Eukaryota; Viridiplantae; Streptophyta; Magnoliopsida; Solanales; Solanaceae. The record is from RNAcentral.
AGGGGAUAGUGCAAUUUUACCAACCAAUUACCACUUGUAUGGUUUAAGUAAUUUACAUUAUUUUGGCAGCUGUUAUUCAUCCAUUUGCUGAGCUACUAGCAUAUUAUAUGCUCUUUGCCAUACCCGUGUUCACAACUGUAUUCACUGGGACUGUUUCAAUGGCUUCACUUGGUGCUUAUACCAUCUAUCUUGAUUUCAUGAACCUGAUGGGCCAUUGCAACUUUGAGCUAAUUCCUAAGUGGACGUUCUCUAUCUUUCCCCCGCUCAAGUACUUGAUGUAUACUCCCUCGUGAGUCUUCUUGCCCUGUAUAUUUUUUAUGAGUUUAAGUAACACUAUUUUAUACAACAAUGUCUCUAAUUAAGUAAUUAUAAGUAAAUUAAUCUUCUGAAAGAUCUCAAACUUGAUUUAGUUAUUUAGAUAUAGAUUCAAGAACACUUCAUGUUUGUGCAUAUCUAAAAGGCAGUACAGUGGACUGAUUAAGGUUACCAGAGAGAUGCAAAAUUGUACUUAGGUAUAUAUUGUCUGAUGCAAUAUCGAUAUGCAAAAAACAAAAGAUAAAGGAUAGAAGAAUGACACAAGAUGGAUAAGAGUUGAGAAUAAUGGUUACAUGACAACCGAUACCCCCAGUUACAAGACUCCAAAAGCACCAAUUCUAUAGAAAGCAUGACACAAGAAUGAGACUAAUAGGCAACAAUGGCUAUUAAAGCCAAAACCUCCUAUUAAGAACACCAAACAAGCACCUAUACUAUAGAGACACCCUCACGCCUCAAGAGGAAUGAUCCUCAAGCAAGUAAUCUCAUCAACAUUUCAAUCAACAAUGACCUUAGUCCGAACUACCUCAAGAGUAUCUCUAUUCAAAAUCAAUCUACGUCUAAAUGAGCUAUUCUCACCUAUUUAUAGUCUAGGCUAGCUAUUACAUAAAAGGUCCAAAAGUGGCACUUCAAAUAAUUGCAAAAACAAUCAAAAUCAGACUCCAUGUAGUAUGCGACGUAGCUUGUGGCGUCGCAUCUACCAUUUGCGGUCGCAUCCAUCUCCGCAUCUCGAAAACAAUGAGUCUUGAAGUUUUAGACUGAAUGCAACUCGGGUUGCAGUCACAACCUCUCACUUGCGGUUUAAGCUUAGCAUUUCACAUUGCAAGUGAGUCCUUUCUCCCUGCUCCAAGUAUUCCUCCAAGUUAGAGACAGGAUAGUUUUAUCAAAUUUAACUUCUGCUUCCAACUUUAGUUACUCAGGGAAAUAGAUAGAAACAAGAGAAAUUAUUGUCUCUUGUCAACUGUACUUUUCCUAGUCUAUAGGUUGGGCAGGUUAGUAAUAACAUGAAGCUCUGUAUUUGUGGUUGAUUAUUCUUUUGACACUAAUAUCAAUAUUUUGAUGGCACAGGUACCACUCACUACAUCACACUCAGUUUAGAACAAAUUAUUCACUUUUUAUGCCAAUGUAUGACUAUCUGAAUGGUACAGUGGAUAAGUCAUCAGACACGUUGUAUGAAAAGUCACUCGAGAGAGAAGCUGAAGUGCCUGAUGUGGUGCACCUUACGCAUCUAACAACCCUAGAAUCCAUCUACCAUCUUCGACUAGGGUUUGCAUCACUGGCCUCAAAGCCUCACGCCUCUAAGUGGUAUUUGUUGCUAAUGUGGCCCGUCACACUAUGUUCAAUAGUGCUUACAUGGAUUUACGGUCACACAUUUGUUGUUGAGAGAAAUUUGUUCAAGAAUCUCAAAUUACAAACCUGGGCUAUCCCGAAGUAUCGCAUACAAGUAAUUAAGUUAUAUUAUUAAAGAUUAUAGUUACAUUUUGCAGGUCUGUUGUUAAAGUGAUUAUUAAUAUAUCCUGAUUCUUUGUUUUGUUGCAGUACUUUAUGCAAUGGGAAAGAGAGAGUAUUAACUAUUUGAUCGAGGAAGCCAUCAUUGAAGCAGAUCAGAAAGGCAUAAAAGUGUUGAGCCUUGGACUCUUAAAUCAGGCAAGUCAAAAUAUGUGUUAAAAGCGUAAUACCACCCAUCCUUACUUUAUCUAUGAAAAAAAUGCAUGAUCUGUUCUUAACUGGUAAUUAUCUUGCAACCUUAUUGCAAAAUGUUUUGUACACAAUCAAAAGAUAUUGUUAUUAUGGAGAAAAAGAUUUUAAAAAAGAAGUCACCCCUCACCCUAUAUCAAUGUUUGUAGGCUGAACCAAUUAAAGAAGGUCAACUCAUACUUAUGCUUUAUUUCAAAUGUACUUUCCAGGAAGAGCAACUGAAUAGUCAUGGUGAAUUUUACGUAAAGAGGUAUCCACACCUGAAAGUGAAGGUGGUAGAUGGAAGUAGCUUAGCUGUAGCCGUGGUCCUAAACUCCAUUCCUGAAGGAACUUCCCAAGUUGUCCUUCGAGGUAGCUUGUCCAAAGUUGCUAACUCCAUUGCC